RNAcentral lists this ribosomal RNA (307 nucleotides) under uncultured bacterium. RNAcentral's name for it is "partial 16S ribosomal RNA". It matches the Rfam family "Bacterial small subunit ribosomal RNA", at positions 506 to 807 of the family's 1533-position model. The record is from RNAcentral.
AGACAGCAGUCGCCGCGGGAAUACGAAGGGUGCAAGCGUUAAUCGGAAUUACUGGGCGUAAAGCGUGCGUAGGCGGUGAGUUAAGUCUGCUGUGAAAUCCCCGGGCUCAACCUGGGAAUGGCAGUGGAUACUGGCUCGCUAGAGUGUGUCAGAGGAUGGUGGAAUUCCCGGUGUAGCGGUGAAAUGCGUAGAGAUCGGGAGGAACAUCAGUGGCGAAGGCGGCCAUCUGGGACAACACUGACGCUGAGGCACGAAAGCGUGGGGAGCAAACAGGAUUAGAUACCCCUGUAGUCCCUGUCUCUUAUAC